Molecule: ribosomal RNA, 253 nt
Filed under: uncultured bacterium
Lineage: Bacteria
Description: partial 16S ribosomal RNA
Rfam family: Bacterial small subunit ribosomal RNA
Source: RNAcentral
UACGUAGGGGGCAAGCGUUGUCCGGAUUUAUUGGGCGUAAAGAGCGUGUAGGCGGCCAGACAGGUCCGUUGUGAAAACUCGAGGCUCAACCUCGAGACGUCGAUGGAAACCGUCUGGCUAGAGUCCGGAAGAGGAGAGUGGAAUUCCUGGUGUAGCGGUGAAAUGCGCAGAUAUCAGGAAGAACACCCGUGGCUAAGGCGGCUCUCUAGUACGGUACUGACGCUGAGACGCGAAAGCGUGGGGAGCGAACAGG